CUACGGGCUGCAGCAGUGGGGAAUAUUGCACAAUGGGCGCAAGCCUGAUGCAGCCAUGCCGCGUGUAUGAAGAAGGCCUUCGGGUUGUAAAGUACUUUCAGCGGGGAGGAAGGGAGUAAAGUUAAUACCUUUGCUCAUUGACGUUACCCGCAGAAGAAGCACCGGCUAACUCCGUGCCAGUAGCCGCGGUAAUACGGAGGGUGCAAGCGUUAAUCGGAAUUACUGGGCGCAAAGCGCACGCAGGCGGUUUGUUAAGUCAGAUGUGAAAUCCCCGGGCUCAACCUGGGAACUGCAUCUGAUACUGGCAAGCUUGAGUCUCGUAGAGGGGGGUAGAAUUCCAGGUGUAGCGGUGAAAUGCGUAGAGAUCUGGAGGAAUACCGGUGGCGAAGGCGGCCCCCUGGACGAAGACUGACGCUCAGGUGCGAAAGCGUGGGGAGCAAACAGGAUUAGAUACCCCCGUAGUC
This 464-nucleotide ribosomal RNA is filed under the name uncultured bacterium. Its description in RNAcentral is "partial 16S ribosomal RNA". It matches the Rfam family "Bacterial small subunit ribosomal RNA", at positions 339 to 795 of the family's 1533-position model. The record is from RNAcentral.